This 252-nucleotide ribosomal RNA is filed under the name uncultured bacterium. RNAcentral describes it as "partial 16S ribosomal RNA". It matches the Rfam family "Bacterial small subunit ribosomal RNA", at positions 524 to 776 of the family's 1533-position model. The record is from RNAcentral.
UACGGAGGGUGCAAGCGUUAUCCGGAUUCACUGGGUUUAAAGGGUGCGUAGGUGGAAUGGUAAGUCAGUGGUGAAAUCUCCAAGCUUAACUUGGAACUGCCGUUGAUACUAUCAUUCCUGAAUAUCGUGGAGGUAAGCGGAAUAUGUCAUGUAGCGGUGAAAUGCUUAGAUAUGACAUAGAACACCGAUUGCGAAGGCAGCUUGCUACACGAUCAUUGACACUGAGGCACGAAAGCGUGGGGAUCAAACAGG